AGCCUUUGGAUUUCCGAGCUUUUCCGACAUCCUGCGAGAUCUGUCGAGCCUGAUUCCGAGUCACCGCGAGCAAUUCCCCAAGGCGCGAGGCUGGGCCGUAGAGAAGUAUUAAGAGGGCCUAUAAAAGGCGGGGCGCAAAAAUGAGGGGGGUUUAGGGCUACCCACCGGACCCGCAUCUCCCUCCAUGCACAGCCCACAGCCCCGCAGUCCCGGGCCGCCACUGAGGAAACCUACCUGACAGAUCGAGUCGCCCUCUCACGUGCGGCAGAACCACUGGGCUCGGUGUUCGCCGGCCGGGGACGCCGCAGCGGCGGCUGACCACGCCGCAAUCUAAUCUCUGCGGCCGCCCGUCCGCCGGCGCGCGGGAAGUUGCGCCGGGGCGGGAAGAAAAAUUACUCCAGGUCCUGAAGAUAAGCCCUUCCUAGCAGCGGUUGCCGAGCGCACUGGUCCGACCUGAUACCUCUCUCCCGACCCAAAUAAAAAAUAAAAAUUUUAAGGCAUGCUUUCA
Molecule: long non-coding RNA, 508 nt
Organism: Bacillus rossius redtenbacheri
Lineage: Eukaryota; Metazoa; Arthropoda; Insecta; Phasmatodea; Bacillidae
Exons: 2
Source: RefSeq, a predicted model, not a curated record